This is a long non-coding RNA of Vicia villosa (hairy vetch), 540 nucleotides long. RefSeq lists it as uncharacterized. Lineage: Eukaryota; Viridiplantae; Streptophyta; Magnoliopsida; Fabales; Fabaceae. The record is from RefSeq and is a predicted model, not a curated record. The transcript has 2 exons.
UAAAGCCCAUUAGCCAAAACUUAAAACAAAAUAAACUUUCAACACUAACCCUCCUCUAUUUUGGCCGCUGGUACCGAAUCCGACCUUGAUUUAACCUGAAUCCUCUUCAAAUGGCCGGAUCGGAGUUCGCAGAAUCCAAACCCUAAACUACCAAACUCAACGAAAUCGAACAAAUACGCAUAUGGAAAAGAAACAACACACCAUACCGAACAUGAACAGUCUAACAAAAUGGCAAAGAUACAUCAGGCGUGAGUAAAUCAGAGCAACAAAGAACUUACCUCUUGAAGACUCCUUCAGGUUAUUGUCUUGCCAUUUUUGUGCAAGGUUUAGGGCAGGUUGGCAAGUUUGGAUGAGGACAAAGCAUUAGCUAGGCAGCAGGCUUUUGGGCAAUUCUUUCUAACAAGCAUUUGGAUGACUUUUUGAAUCAAAUUGUGAAUAGGUUAGGCAAGUUUGAAUCAAAUUUUAUGGACACUUGAAAUGGGAGUAACUUUGUAUGGAAUUUGACUUUUGAAUUAAUGAAUUUGAAUUUGAAACUUAGAA